Long non-coding RNA from Cannabis sativa, 437 nucleotides. RefSeq lists it as uncharacterized. The record is from RefSeq and is a predicted model, not a curated record. NCBI's taxonomy places the organism in Eukaryota, Viridiplantae, Streptophyta, Magnoliopsida, Rosales, Cannabaceae. The transcript is spliced from 2 exons.
AAAUUUGAUUUUCUAUACUUAGAAAAUCAAAAAAUUUGAUUUCUAAACCAAUAAUUUAAACCCUAAAAAAACUAUACCUUUUUUUUUCAAAACCCCAAAAAUACCCCCAAACUAAAACUAUCUCUCUUUCUCUCUCUAUCUAGCCGGUCCCAAGAAUCCCACACCCCAGGUCCGAUGGUCGGACCAUGGGGUCCGAUGGGGUCCGACCAAUCGGACCCAUCGGACCCCAAGGUCCGACCAUCGGACCUCUCUCUUCCCUCUCUCUCAAAUCGCGGGAAAAAAAAAAAAAAUUAAAAGCCGGUCGGACCUUCGGGUCCGAUGGGUCCGAUGGUCGGACCCAUCGGACCCGAAGGUCCGACCAUCGGACCUCUUUCUUCCUCUCUCUCCAAAAUCGCAAAAAAAAAAAAAAAAAAAAAAAAAUUAAAAGACGGUCGGAC